AGGCACUGUCCUGAUAGAACGGAUGGUAUUGGAGGAAAGGAAGUAGGUGUGGGUUCUGAAAAGCAGCUGGGAGGCAAAGAGGGGAGAGUACUGAGGAGAUCAAGGAUAUAUGAAGAAGAGGAAGUAGGCCAAAGCAUCAGAGUGAAGGCUGUGGGAAAGGUGAAGGAGUCAGAGGUCUGUUACUGGCAGCUGAUGAAUUGUCUAGUCAGGGCUUUUGACUGUUGAUAUAAUGGUGACUUUUCUUUUUCUGACCAGUAUAUUGGGACAUGCCUUUCAGAGUAAACAGGUAAAUGAGCCUCACAGACAACUUUAGGUUUAAGUACGAAGGUCUGAGAGCCAGAGGUAUGACAGCACAGGUACCUGGAUGCUGUAAUAAUCCUGGCAUUGCAGACAUGCAAACAUCAAGCCUUGCCCUGCUGGGGUCUUAGAUUCUGCACCCCUGACAUGGGUCCGGAUAAACUGGGUGAGCAAGAUUUCCAAAGGCAAAGAUGACAGGAAGUGAGAGAAUGUGCAAAGGUCUGAAUAGCAGAGCUGGACAUUAAAGAGUGGGCAUAAUAUUCAUAAAAAAAAAAGACGUGAAAAACACUUACGUAGAAACAGAUAAUAAGAGCAAAAGCUUAGUUAUGUAGCUGGGCCUUGAGAUAUGGGCGGAAUUCUACUUGUAAACAUGGAGGGAGUGGACAUUAUUUCUGUCAAUCAUUUCACUGCGCCAAUCACGCUCUGUGAAGGCGGGGGGGGGCCAAAGGCAGGCUAUAAAUAACGAACGUCCGUUCACGUGACCAGACUCAUUUCAAUAUGGAUUAUACUUUGGAGCUAUAGUGGACUGUUUCCCUCAGGAAUGUGGAAAUAUGGCGGGUACUCUCUCGUGUAAUCACAAAAAUGUAAGUUUAAUUUACUUCUUAAUUGUCAUUGAUUGUUGGCUGUUCGUAGUGCGGUUUUUAUAGAAUCAGGUAAAUGGUGUGUAACAAUAUACUUUAAUGGAUGUAUCUGGAGAGUUUUGCUUUUAUGAGAGUCUGGUUUUCUGGUCACUUAGCGGUGUUUGGACACAAUGUUGUGAUUAAACACAGCAUAACAUUUAUUUUACGGAAGAAUUGUGUGUUUGCUAUCAUUCUAUUCUGUUAAAUAUGGGUCCUGGUCCUUUACAUAGUUUUUGAAAAGUUUCUUGUUAUCGGUAAUUAACAAAUAAGGAAAAGAUUGUUUUAUUCGUCUAUGUGCCGCUUGGCUUACGACAGUUACUUGGUUUACGACAGUUAACUGGCCUCGUGCCACCAGCGAGCCUAAUGUUUAAUUUUAUUUUGCCAUUAAAUUGUGUUGUAAUACUAUUUUCUUCCUUCAUAUAUUGGUCCUGGUGUGUCGUAUUUAAUUUCUAUUUUAAAUGAAGAAAUAUUUGUGUUAUUUUCAGUGUAAAAAUGCACACAUUGACCAUUUGACCGAGCACGUAUUGUUUUACGACAGUGAAUGCCCGGAAGUGCCACGCAUGGCCACCAUUAGAAUGCAUUUGAGAUUUUAUUUCCCAAAACAAUUGCGUGUUAAAUAUCACUUUACUCAGUUGAGCCUUUUUCAUAAGUUUCCUUUGAAAGGUUUUCUGUAAACUUAAAUUUACUGAAGAGAAAGUUAACAUGUUUGAUAUAAUUGGGUGUUUGACAUACUGUUUACAUUCUAGUCUUAGUCCUUAAAAUUUUUCUAAAAAAAUAAGUGUUUUAGGGUAGUCUCAAAUGACAGAAGCAGAACGUAAUCAUCCGGCUUGGUCCUGGAUUUUUCAGUUGUAGAUGUUUAAUUCUUAAGUGUCUGUCGUCGGUUGUGACUUAACGCGGUUUCGCAUUUUAUUUUACCAUUAAAUCGUGUUGUGAUAUCAUUUUACUCCUUAAAAUAUGGGUCCUUGUGUGUCCUAUUUCAUAGUUAUAUUGAAAAUGAAGACAUUUUUGUGUUAAUUUCAAUGUAAAGAUGCACACAUUGACCAUCUGAUUGAUGGAGUGUUCAUUGUUUGACAGUUGAGUUCCCGGAAGUCGCUGUCACCUGCCGCCGUUACACGUCGUGUUACACGUCACGUGGGAAUUUAUUUCCCAAAGCAAUUCCGUGUUGAAUUCCAUGUUACUAAAUGAAAUUCUGUCCGUAGCCUUUUCAGUAAGUGUCCUUUGAAGGUUUUUGUGUACAUUUCAAUUUACAGAGGAGAAAGUUAACAUACUUGAGUACCUUUUAUAAUUGGGUUUUUGACAUAUCGUUAUGUUUAAAUUCUGGUCUUGGGCCAUCUUCAAAAAUUUUCUUAAAAUUAAAGGUUUGGAGUUGUCUCGAUUUACAAAAGCAGAAUUUAUCAUCUGGCUGAGUGCUGGAUAUGUUGUGACGGUGAGUGAUCUCAAGAGUCUGUCUUAUGCCACCGUUAAAUAUAUUUUGGCAAUUUAUUUUAGUGAAUGAUUGUGUAUUUGGUAUCAGUUGAUCCCGGUGUGGGUCGUGGUCCUUUUUCAUGAGUUUUGUGGAAAAAAGUUUGUUGCGAUUGUCAUUUAACAAAUAAAAGAUUGUUCUAUUGUCUUUUUAUCUCUAGGUUGAUGCACUAACUGACCUCAAGCUGCCAGUGAGCCUAAGUGUUUUUUUUAAUUUUUUUAUUCUGUUUAUUAUUAUUUUAUUUGUUGAAAUUUGGUCUUUGUGUGCCCUAUUUCAUAAUUUAAUUUAAAAUCGAAGAAAGUUUUCUGGUAUUUUCAAUGUAAAGAUGCAAAAAUGGAUCAUCUUACUAGACAAGUGCUCCUUGUGUUAGGACAAUGAAUGCCCUGAAGUGCUGGUCAUUGACCACCGUGGAAAGUCCUUUAGAAUUUGAUUUGCUUAAAAAAUUGUGUGUUGAAUUCUGUCCCUAGCCGCCUUUAUAUGUUUUCUUUGAAAAGUAUGGGGCAUGUUCAAUUUAAAAGAAGGAAAUCAACUGUAAGCUUGAGUGCUUUUUGUUUCCAGGGAUUUGGUGGUCUUUGGGGUCAUAUUUCCUGGCUUGGGAUGAUCUUUGACAAUGUAAUAACACUUUUAAUAUGAUAGUAUUUCAAUAAAUUUUGGCAUCAAUCCUUCUUAUAAGCAUAGAAAAAUGGUUUGUGGUAGCUUCUAUUCACAAACAAGGAGGACUGGAGUGUUCCAGAGCCUGGCUGGUCAGGACAGAGAAUGGCAAGAAAAUGCUCCCCCUCGGCAAUCUCAGCGUGUGCUGGCCCUGCCUCUGACUGUGCCUUCAUGCCUCAAAUGCACAGAUAUUGCCCUUGCAGCGGUAGCAGGGUGGAAGGAUGGGAUUGGAAAACAAAUACCAGGAGUCCAGGGCUGGUGGCCAUGCUGCUCAGGUGUCUUGAUUCAGGGACGAGAACAUGGAUCUGAAGGCAAUGUUAAUGCCAGGGCCAGCAAGUUUCCUCAGAAGUUAGUGGUCCAUGUCCUUGGAAAUCACACCUCGGUAAUCUUGCUGUGAAGCAAGAGGUAGCCCAGGAACUGGGGUUUUCCUGCCCUGAAACACAGUGUGUUCUGGCCAACUUGGAUGCCUCACACAACGCUGAAUUGGUUCAGUACCUAUCAGAAGUUUCUAGAAUUUGUCAAGCACUUCAGGCUGACGGUGUCUGUUAAUUGGCAGUGUCUGAAAAGGUCUUUGCUCUUUCCUUGCCUGUAUAAAGUCAUUUAUUGCUGGGGGGUGAUUCAUUUGUUGAAGACAAGGCGAAGACUUGGACAGUUCCAGGGAGAGGGGGUGCUUAAAUAUAAAUAUGAAGUAUUCUAAGAUGUUUUUUAAGAGACUUCCAAACUUUAGUCUUGGUAGAUACCUCCAUUUCCCCAGUUUUGUAUUCAUGUGGAUUUUAUUCACAAGGUGGCAUCACAGAACCUGAAGUUCACUCAUCUAAGGUCAAAAAAUCCUCACUUCUUUUUGAUUACAAGACAAAAUGUCUAGCUUCUCUUUAUACAGCAUAGCGACAUGUGAAAGCCUUUUGAUUUAUCCCUGUAAUUGGCUUAAUUAUUUUUAAGGCCAGGAAAAUGGGGGCAUUGUUAUUUCACACCCAGUGAAAAACUGAGGCCUGAGAUACAACUUGUACCCAAAUCCACUUAGUGGGGCUCUGCCAGCGAAGUACCUUCACCAGGUGACCUGAUGGUGACUGAGGGGUGGCCUAUGUGCUAGUCCAAAAAUGCUGCAGAGUUUCCUUAUACCUGUGAUGCCUCCUGAUCCCUUUGUACACACCUGUUGUUCCCUGAUCCCAUCCCGGUCAUUUUGGGUCUAGAAGAGGUCUAGAUUUCCCUUUUCAUGGGGAAGUUGUGGGGAAGACCUUAGUGAAUGGUUUCAUGCAUAAUGCUGCUUGGUAUUAACACAUAAAAAGAAGUUGCAGAGUUUUUCUUCCACAUGCCUUCAGUUGAUUCUGACUCAUGACAGCCCCGUGUGUGGAAGGGUGCCUCUCUAAUGGGUGAUAAUCUCAAGAAUUGGGACAUCCAAGUAAAGAGAAGGUGACCCUCCUCAGACCUUAAUGUGGGCCUGUUUCUUGCAUCUUGUGAAGAGUUCAUUCCUAGGCCAGCCUUGUCAUGUAAAGACCUCUAGUGCGUCCUCAAUGGAUGUGUGCUUGCAUGACAAUGGUAGUGUACUGCAAUUUCUUACCGUGGUAUUUCCGUGGGAGACUUGUGUUUGCAGUAAAUGUGUAUUCAUGUCUCCUUGGAAGAGGCAUCAACCUCAAUGGAUGUGAGCUCGCAUGACAAUGGUAAUGUACUGUAAUUUCUUGCGGUGGUAUUUCCAUGGGAGACUUGUGUUUGCAGUAAAUGCGUAUUCAUGUCUCCUUGGAAGAGGCAUCAACCUCAGUGGAUGUGAGCUCGCAUGACAAUGGUAAUGUACUGCAACUUCUUGCCGUGGUAUUUCCAUGGGAGACUUGUGUUUGCAGUAAAUGUGUAUUCAUGUCUCUUUGGAAGAGGCAUCAACCUCAGUGGAUGUGAGCUCGCAUGACAAUGGUAAUGUACUGCAACUUCUUGCCGUGGUAUUUCCAUGGGAGACUUGUGUUUGCAGUAAAUGUGUAUUCAUGUCUCCUUGGAAGAGGCAUCAACCUCAAUGGAUGUGAGCUCGCAUGACAAUGUUAAUCUACUGCAAUUUCUUGCCGUGGUAUUUCCGUGGGAGACUUGUGUUUGCAGUAAAUGUGUAUUCAUGUCUCCUUGGAAGAGGCAUCAACCUCAAUGGAUGUGAGCUCGCAUGGCAAUGGUAAUGUACUGCAAUUUCUUGCCGUGGUAUUUCCAUGGGAGACUUGUGUUUGCAGUAAAUGUGUAUUCAUGUCUCCUUGGAAGAGGCAUCUGUUGUCUCACAUAACUCUCUCCAACCACUGUGACAUUUGAAAGGUGAGUUAAUGAUGGGCAGAAAAGAAUAGUACCUUGCAUGGGGGCACAAAGCCAAUGGAUAGGAGGGGUGCCCCUCAAAACCAAGUGUAGCUGACCUCAAGUCCCAUGGUAUUGAGCACUAAGUUGUGAGGUGCUCUUUUAAUGCAGCCUUUUAGUGCUCGCCAAAUUAGUUGUUGCCCCUUCAUGCACUCUUCUGCUGACCAUACUUUGCCAGGUGGUGGGAACAAAAAGGUUACCUGGGUCCUGUCAGUGAUCAGUGACUGAGGUUGGUGACUUUUGAGUCCUCACGGGCUUCUAGGGAUGAGACUGGAGAUCCAGGACUGUCCUGGGUCAGGGCUCUGGGCCGGCUGCUCACUUCCUCCUUUUCGUCAUUGUCAAAGAGGACACAGAGCCUCAGGCCUUCGCUGCCACCUUCAGUCUGGUUCCCUGUCUCAUUUGAUUGCAUUUUCUGUAAGGAAAAGAAUUACAGAGGUUAGAGCCUCACUCAGAAAGGGGGAGGGGCUUUGUGAUCAGGAAAGAUGGACUGACAAAUGCUCUCUCACUUUCAGGGGCAACAGAUUGGGGGGAGGGAUAUGAACUGUGUCUUCUUUAAAACUGCUCUGUUUGAAGUAGGAUAAAGCAGACAGUUGGGAGGACAAGGACCUUCUUGUGAAAGGUGUGACGGGCAUCCUGUAUUCAAGGGAGUAUCUCUUGUCCCCUUCCUAAUCUCUGCCAUGUGCCUCAGUGGAGUAGACACUCAUCCUAUCAUAUUUAUAGCGAAUAGUGUUCAUCUGGAGAGAAUUAUGAAUGUGAACUGCUGUUGCUGGUACAUUGUUCCAGAAACCUUCUCCAGCUUUUCCUUAUUCCACAGUCCCUCAGCCCAAAUACCUUGUUUAAGGUCACAAGGAAAGCAGGCUGUGACAUUGUCAGCUUGGCAGCAUCUAGGACACGGGAAUUUGUGUCCUGGGAAUAAAUUGGUGAUGACCUAUUGUCAUCAUUGUGUACUCUUACAGUCAUCUGCUGAACAGAAUGAUUUCCACAUUGCAGAACAAUGGGAUAUUAGGAAUCAUUAGGAAUCCUGAUUCUUUGCUUGGGAACACACUGUGAGUUGUCUCCAAUCAUUUCUCUAAUAGCUUCAUGCACUCUUCUGCUGACCAUACUCUGCCAGGUGGCUACCUGGGUCCUGUCAGUGAUCAGUGACUGAGGUUGGUGACUUUUGAGUCCUCACAGGCUUCUAGGGAUAAGACUGGAGAUCCAGGACUGUCCAGGGUCAGGGCUCUGGGCUGGCUGCUCACUUCCUCCUUUUUGUCAUUGUCAAAGAAGACACAGAGCCUCAGGCCUUCGCUGCCACCUUCAGUCUGGUUCCCCGUCUCAUUGGAUUGCAUUUUCUGUAAGGAAAAGAAUUACAGAGGUUAGAGCCUCACUCAGAAAGGGGGAGGGGCUUUGUGAUCAGGAAAGAUGGACUGACAAAUGCUCUCUCACUUUCAGGGGCAACAGAUGGGGGGAGGGAGGGUGAAAGGUGUGACGGGCACCCUGUAUUCAAGGGAGUAUCUCUUGUCCCCUUCCUAAUCUUUGCCAUGUGUCUCAGUGGAGUAGGCACUCACCCUGUCAUACUUACAGUAAACCGUGGUCUUCAGAGGAGAAUUAAGAAAAUGUACUGUUUCUAUAAUUAUGUUGUUCCAACAUUCUCCUCCAGACAGAGCCUUGCCUCUGGUCUUCUUUGGGCCAGCCGCAUUGUUGAAGGUCACACAGGAGACUUCCAGCCAAUUGACUGCUAAUUUGUUGUGUGAAUUAUCACUGUCUGAGACACUACAGCCAGUGCCUCGUCCUUUGGGAAACAGGACAUGAUGGCAUCAGUGGUAGCUGGGGCCCGUCUACUCUUCUGCUGACCACACUCUGCAAACUGGGGGAAUUAGAAGUUCCCUGGGGCCCGUCUAUAGGGAGCACUCUUCUGCUGACCGUACUCUGCAUGUUGGGGGAACUAGAAGUUACCUGAGCCUGUCUAUAAGCAGUAAUUGAGGCAGAUGAAUUUUGAAUCCUCAGGAGAUAAGCCUGGAGGUUUCGGACUUUCCUAGGUCAGGACUCCAGACUGGAUGCUUAACCUCUCCGAGGACAUAGAGCCUCGGGCUUUAGCUGCCACCAUCAGGUCUGGGUCACUCUCAUUCGAAUGUCUCUUCUUUUAAAGAGAAUUAUACAGGCUGGAGCUUUAGAAAGGGACUGAUGCCCAGUGGGAUUCACUGAUUUUCUCCGUCUAACUCAUCACUAAGACACAGCUGCCUUUCAGAAUACUGGAAAGGCCUGUUGUAGUAUCAGCUAGGAGACUGCGCUUAGGGUACUGCACUACAGGAUGUGGAAUAUGGUUCAAGCUGUGACCAGGCUUCCAUGCCUCUCCUCCCUAGCCCAGAAUAGAUGGCUCUGGGAACCGGGGGUUAAGAGGUGAGCAGAGAUAUUCCCAUGAUUAUAGUGUGCCCCAUGCCCACACCCCAAAAGUUUUCCUUGUGUGUCUAGAAGGAUCUUAGAACUCAAACAGAAGAGUGUUUUAUCAGAAGUGGGCAAUGCCACUGAUGGCACCCAUAAAUUGUUUUGCCUUAAUUCUUCGAUUUGUAUGUAAUAUUUUACCAUGGUGGUGUUUAAGGUUAACCUUUAGUCUGUAGGUUUUGGAAUCUCAAAGCAUCACAGCAGUUCUGUAUAAGCCAUGACCUUCACCUGGAGGACUUCGACUCAAGGAGUGGCCCUAUAAUAUCAAGUUCAUGAGGAAUUUGACCGGAUUUGCCUUUGGGAGCUUGUGACUUUGGGUUUGGUUGUAAAUUUUACUUUGGAUUGUUUUGAUUGCUUACAAUAUGCACAGUUUUGCAUACACAGGGAAUCUUGGGAUUUUACAUGUGGGGAGAUGUUAAAAUGUGUAUGUAUUGUAUUCGUUUGCUGCAGUGUGGAAGGCAGUAGUCACAGGCUGACUGGUCUGUGCGGCAGGCACCUUUUGUCUGCGACCUGCCCUCUGCACUCAGACCCUUCUGUUUGCUGUGCCACUAUGUCCCCUGGCCUAGCUUCUUGGUUAGAUGCUUGUCACCUCAACCUAGUUAAACCAAUCUCAGUGUACAUCCCAUUAGUUUUGGAGUUUGGAACUAGACUCCAAGAUUGAGUAAUUCUCUGCCAAGUCUCACUGAUACAAUUUUUUUUUACAGAGAACCUUACUUAAAAGACUACCUGUUGAGUUAAUUCAUGCUACCCCUUAUUAUACUUUAUGUAAUAUGUUACUUUGGUUUCUUGGAUAUUGUAAAAAGUUGUGUUCUUUCAAUAAAAUGUGUUUGUUGAAGAAGCUCUCCCAGUCGUGGGUGUUUAUUAUUUGCAAUGAAUACCAGCAUGAUCAAGAUGCUUGUGGUUGUGCCAUUUGCAUCAUCGAGUAUACCAGGGGUGAGCUCUGGGCAAUAUAGUUCGGGGUAAUGAGGACAGGAGGUUGGUGGGGCAGAGGGUGGUUAAGAAAAAGAAUGUUACUAGGGGAUCUAAUAGCUCCCUAUGAGAAGUGAUACUUUGGCCACUACUUGAAGGCCUCAAAUACCUACUGGAGGUUGGUGGGGGCUGUGGGGAAUCUCCUAACACUGCUUAAGGUAAGGUAGAAGUAGGGUCAACAGCAUGGUUCAAUGAACUACAAUUACAUUUCCUCUGUACAACUGAGCAUGAUUUAAACAUUUUAUCAAUUAGCAUUUUCAAUUGGCAAGUCGGUACAGUAAUGGCAGUCCCAAAGAAUUUCUAGAUCAGUUCACAGCUGCCUAAGGAAACUUUUGCAGUGUGGCCAUUAGAGUUUCUCACCCAGGGGAUUGGAAAGCGAGCCUGUUGCAGCCUGUCCUGUCUGUAGCCAUGCCAGGCAGGGGACUUGGGUGGGCUUCCACCCUAGGAUUUCAUAGAGAUCUUGGGCUGCAGGUGUCAGCACCUCAAUUCUUGCCCUUUAGUCUACAGGGCCCAAACUGGGACAUCUCCCCUCCUUUCUGAAGGGCUUGUCAGCAUGGAGAGCUCAAAGAACCUCUGCUCCUCUUCUCCAUGGCAGCUGGAACUCUAUUUAUAUCCCCUUGAUAACCCUCUCCUGUGUUAAACCAUGUGAGUGGCCCACUAGGCUGGCAGUUUCUCCCAGCCAACUAUGCCCUCAUACCCCAACCAGCAGUGUCCUCCAUUGUGUGUCUCUCUGCUCAGAGACACUCUGAAAUGCUGUUCUGCGAAGCUGAGAGUUUGUAAAAGACCAUGGAGCCUUUGACAUUUGCGGUAUGACUACUGACCUGACUCCUUCAGCACCAGACCUGACAGGAAUUGGUGGCCACAGAGUACUUUCUCAAGCUUAGGACUCUGUCACAGUUCAGAUGAGGCCUGCCAUGCCCAUCACCACUGUCCCCCAAGCUGAUGGGGAAAGUCAGUAACUUGUAUGGGGUCUUCCCUGGGCCUUGGUCUCUGAGGGAGUGUGUGAGUUAAGCCAUCCAGGGCCUCCCAAAUCCACAGGCACACUGAGUCACAGAUCACUGCUCCUAAGAGGUCUCUGAACUGUCACCCUUCACAGAAUGGAGAGAACGUAGAGCUGGUUCACCCUGAUGCCCUAACUCCCCCAGAGAAACUUUAAGGGGCCAUGAGUGAUGCCUGGCCUGGAUGGAGGGGGCUGAGGCCUGGAGAAAAUGACAUUACAGGAGGGGAAGGUGUGAUAAACUCUCUAGAGGGAAUUAGAAACUACAGAGCAAAAACAGGAGAGCAUGGUGAGAUUGGGGGAACUUUUCACAUCUGUUUUCAACUCAUGAUCAGCAUAUAAACAAACAAACAGCAAAUCACUAACUCAUCAAGCUCCCCGUUUUAAUGACCACAAAGCCCAUUUACUACCUCUCAUGGGCUCUGUGUUAAGCAAUUACUCUGUAUUGUCUCCCUUCAUGCGGAUGGUAACCUGGGGAGGCAGGUUACAUGUAUGUCUCAGAAGCCAAAUAAUUUGCCCAAGGACACACAGCUAGUAAGUUGCAGAGGCAAGACUGGAACCCAGGUGUGUGUGAGUCUGUAGCCUGUGUGCACUUAACCACCACAGCACUGAAGAAUAGCAUGAAGUUUAUUUGGGGACUGGGUCAGAUGAACAGAUAUUCAUUAAAGAGAUUUUGUAAAUAGAGAUUAUUAGGAAAAAUUAACUUUAUUCUUGCCAUCUAAACUAAAACUCUUGUUAUUUUAUUUUCAUCUAGUCCCUCCUUACAGACACACACACACACACACACACACGACAUGCAUGUGUGCAUUUGAAAUACCUGUUACACACUUAGAGUUUUUUUUUUUUUAGUGUCACCAUGAAAGAGGUUCAGAGGUAGGAUAAGCUCUGGGCACAGGGCUCUGACUCCACUUCUUUGCGAUUCUGUUGGAUCUGUCAUCAUCCAUGCGUUGGCUUCAUUAUCAGGCUCUUGGCAAGAUGGCUGCAGCAGCUUCAGGUGUCACAUCCACACCUAACAAUUUCUACAGGAUGAUCCUUACGUGCAUCUACUGCAUGGCAGAGAGGAUACCUUCUCAGAAGCACUCUAGCACAUUUUUCACAUUUCACUGGCCUGACUGAAUCGUGUUCCCAUUGUUUUAUUUUUCAUUCACUGGCAAGGGAAAUGGUAGAAUCAUGAUAAGCUUGAGACUAUCAUGCAGGGAAGGAAACCCUGGUGGUGUAGUGGUUAAGAGCUAUGGCUGCUAAUCAAAAGGUCGGCAGUUUGAAUCCACCAGGUGCUCCUUGGAAACUCUAUGGGGCAGUUCUACUCUGACAGCAACAGGUUUGGUUUUGGUUUUUUUUAUGUGAGGCAGGAGCCCUGGUGGUGUAAUGGUUAAAGCACUUGGCUGCUAACUGAAAGGCCAGCAGUUUGAAUCCCCCAGCUGCUCUGUGGGAGAAAGAUGUGGCAGUCUGCUUCUAUAAGGAUUACAGCCUUGGAAACCCCUAUGGGAGGCAUACAGGCUCACUGUCAGUUGGAAGUGACUCCACGGCAAUGGUUUUUUUUCUUUUAAUUGUGGGGGGCAAUGGGUGUUGAAGUCAACUGCUUAUAACCACUCCUGCCUACUCUUGUAAGAGAAGAUAAAUGCUUACUUUGCAAAAAUGGGGUCAUUCCAAAUCCACCGGAAAGGAUUAAACGAUCACUUUCAUGGUGUGAAUCACUAACAUGGAAAUAAUUGCUGCCUAUUCUAUUCCAUUUUCUGGUCCCUAAA
Long non-coding RNA from Loxodonta africana (African savanna elephant), 11478 nucleotides. RefSeq lists it as uncharacterized. Lineage: Eukaryota; Metazoa; Chordata; Mammalia; Proboscidea; Elephantidae. The record is from RefSeq and is a predicted model, not a curated record. The transcript has 3 exons.